ACGGGAAGAACCUUACCAAGGCUUGACAUACCCCGAAAACACUCAAAAAAGGGUGCCCCCCAAGGUCGGUGUACAGGUGGUGCAUGGUUGUUGUCAGCUCGUGUCGUGAGAUGUUGGGUUAAGUCCCGCAACGAGCGCAACCCUCCUUCUAUGUUGCCAGCGGGUAGUGCCGGGGACUCAUAGGAGACUGCCGGGGUCAACUCGGAGGAAGGUGGGGAUGACGUCAAAUCAUCAUGCCCCUUAUGUCUUGGGCUUCACGCGUGCUACAAUGGCCGGUACAAAGGGCUGAAAAACCGUGAGGUGGAGCGAAUCCCAAAAAGCCGGUCUCUCA
Molecule: ribosomal RNA, 331 nt
Filed under: uncultured Actinomycetes bacterium
Lineage: Bacteria; Bacillati; Actinomycetota; Actinomycetes
Description: bacterial SSU rRNA
Rfam family: Bacterial small subunit ribosomal RNA
Source: RNAcentral